GACGAACGCUGGCGGCGUGCUUAACACAUGCAAGUCGAACGGAAAGGCCCUGCUUGCAGGGUACUCGAGUGGCGAACGGGUGAGUAACACGUGGGUGAUCUGCCCUGCACUUCGGGAUAAGCCUGGGAAACUGGGUCUAAUACCGGAUAGGAGCCAUUUUUAGUGUGAUGGUUGGAAAGUUUUUUCGGUGUAGGAUGAGCUCGCGGCCUAUCAGCUUGUUGGUGGGGUAAUGGCCUACCAAGGCGGCGACGGGUAGCCGGCCUGAGAGGGUGGACGGCCACAUUGGGACUGAGAGACGGCCCAGACUCCUACGGGAGGCAGCAGUGGGGAAUAUUGCACAAGGGGCGCAAGCCUGAUGCAGCGACGCCGCGGGGGGGAUGACGGCCUUCGGGUUGUAAACUCCUUUCGCUAGGGACGAAGCUUUUUGUGACGGUACCUAGAGAAGAAGCACCGGCUAACUACGUG
RNAcentral lists this ribosomal RNA (465 nucleotides) under uncultured bacterium. RNAcentral describes it as "partial 16S ribosomal RNA". It matches the Rfam family "Bacterial small subunit ribosomal RNA", at positions 28 to 507 of the family's 1533-position model. The record is from RNAcentral.